ACUACCGAUUGAAUGGUUUAGUGAGGCCUUCUGACUGGCGCCGAUGCUCUGGCAACAGAGCGCCGGAUGCCGGAAAGUUGGUCAAACUUGAUCAUUUAGAGGAAGUAAAAGUCGUAACAAGGUUUCCGUAGGUGAACCUGCGGAAGGAUCAUUACCGAUGUAAUCCAAAAGCACGACUCCGUCGUGACUACCGUGUGAACCGUACCAAACUAUUCAGGGGUCGGCAAGUCCGUUAAAUGGCGGUCGGACGCCUGCGUUGCGCGCGCGGCCGCUCCGCCAGCCCCGCCUGUGUUUUUUAACAUACGUGUCUUGUCUGAAAACGUGACCACUGCCGUGGUCCAGAGCAAAGAAAAAAGAGAGACAACUUUUGACGGUGGAUCUCUUGGCUCACGCAUCGAUGAAGAACGCAGCCAGCUGCGAUAAGUAGUGUGAAUUGCAGAAUUCAGUGAAUCAUCGAAUCUUUGAACGCAAAUGGCGCUCUUGGGUUCUCCCAGGAGCAUGUCUGUCUGAGUGUCGGAUAUCAUCCAACGCACUUAGUCGUGCGGCGUUGAGGCGUCACGGCCCUCAUGCUGCCGUGUCCCUUGAAAGUCAGAGAGACUCGCGCGGCACGGGUUCGUUCCCUGCACACUCGCGGAGGCUAAAAACGCUUUUGCCCUUCGCGUGCACGGGACGACCCGUCCGCGAGUCGCGGAGGCGAACACUUUUUAAACUCUUGACCUCAGAUCAGACAAGGCUACCCGCUGAAUUUAAGCAUAUUAAUAAGCGGAGGAAAAGAAACUAACAAGGAUUCCCCCAGUAACGGCGAGUGAAGCGGGAUGAGCUCAAAUUUGAAAUCUCCGGUGCUUGCACCGGCGAGUUGUAGUUGCGAGAAGCACUUUCUCGGCGGAUCGGCGGCGCCUAAGUUGCUUGGAACAGCAUGUCGCAGAGGGUGACAACCCCGUCUGUGGCGCGGCCGGCCGCUUACGAU
RNAcentral lists this ribosomal RNA (967 nucleotides) under Sandalolitha robusta. RNAcentral's name for it is "eukaryotic LSU rRNA". The stretch from base 714 to 967 matches the Rfam family "Eukaryotic large subunit ribosomal RNA", at positions 1 to 250 of the family's 3401-position model. The record is from RNAcentral. Lineage: Eukaryota; Metazoa; Cnidaria; Anthozoa; Scleractinia; Fungiidae.